Molecule: unclassified non-coding RNA, 1127 nt
Filed under: Caenorhabditis elegans
Lineage: Eukaryota; Metazoa; Nematoda; Chromadorea; Rhabditida; Rhabditidae
Description: Non-coding transcript of protein-coding gene plpp-1.2
Source: RNAcentral
AUGUCUACAAUAACUAGGAAGUUGUCAAGUCGAAUAGUUCCUGUCUUUCGAAAAAUAUCUACAAUGUCCUUAUUCCAGGUGAUGGAACCCUCAUUGGAUCCAAAAGUUUUCAAUGUCAACGAAGUAGCUGUUGGACUCAAUUUAGUUCUUUUGUAUGGAUUUGCUGCUGUAACCGUGAUCGUUCCCACUCUGCUUGGUGUCUCACAACGUGGAUUUUUCUGUGAUGAUGAUUCGAUUCGAUAUGAAUAUCGGAAAGAUACAAUAACUGCAGUACAGUUGAUGCUGUAUAAUUUAGUGCUCAAUGCAGCAACAGUAUUGUUCGUCGAAUAUUAUCGAAUGCAAAAGGUAGAAUCAAAUAUCAAUAAUCCGAGAUAUCGCUGGAGAAACAAUCAUCUUCACGUUCUCUUCGUCCGACUUUUGACAUAUUUUGGAUACUCUCAAAUCGGAUUCGUUAUGAAUAUCGCCUUGAAUAUUGUAACAAAACACGUCGUUGGCAGACUUCGUCCGCAUUUUCUCGAUGUCUGUAAGCUAGCAAAUGAUACUUGCGUCACUGGAGAUUCUCACAGAUACAUCACCGAUUAUACGUGUACAGGACCACCAGAGUUGGUACUAGAAGCACGAAAGAGUUUCUAUUCAGGCCAUUCCGCUGUUUCACUUUACUGCGCGACGUGGUCAGCGCUUUACAUUCAAGCUCGUCUAGGCCCUGUCCUGAAUAAUCGAAUUGUAGUGCCAAUAUCGCAGACACUGAUGUUUAUGAUUGGACUUGGAAUUAGCUUCUCCAGAAUCACUGAUAAUAAGCAUCAUUGGAGCGAUGUUCUUGUCGGAAUUUUCAUUGGAAUAUUCUUGGCUGUUUACACUGUAAUAUUAUUAUGAGUGUUUGGGAACUUUCGCAUUUUUUCUGCUUUCAGUGUACCUUCUGGACAGAUUUGUUCUCAAACAAUUCAACUGAAUCUGAAACACAACCUCUUCUGCUUCCUCGACCACCCCGUACUCCCAGAAACUCUGAAGAUGAGGAGCGACAUCGAUUGGAUGCAGUUUUACCUUCUACGGAUAGUUCUAUUGUUUUUGAAGCUACUGGACCGCAGGACUCGGAUACAAUUUUGUUGCCGGUUCCGCAAAGUGCAUAA